Photinus pyralis (common eastern firefly) is the source of this 921-nucleotide long non-coding RNA. RefSeq lists it as uncharacterized. The transcript has 3 exons. Lineage: Eukaryota; Metazoa; Arthropoda; Insecta; Coleoptera; Lampyridae. The record is from RefSeq and is a predicted model, not a curated record.
UACUUAUCGAACCUUCGAAGCAUAUUUUACACGUAUUUUGCAAAGUAAGUGAAUGUGAUAAUGUUUCAUAUUAUGUUUCAUCACUAUGCGACAGAUGCGCCUAGGUCUUCACGACUUCACGUUGUGAGUACCUACCUGUUUUAAAACUUCGUUCUGCAACAUAUCUUCGUUACUAGUGAUACAAGUGUAAUGGGGGGUAUUUUUAUAUUGCAACAAGGGAAAUCGCUAAUUAAAUUGGAGCUAAUUGUUGGUCAGAACUCAUUAUUAAGAUGCGACAAAUCUACUGUAAACUCACCUUUCAUUAGAAACUGUUACCGGGUAAGUGAAAACGGUUUUGUUGUCUUAAUGUAAUGGCGGAUACAUUUGAACCGAUACCCUGUUGCGCUCGGCUGAUGGUAGAGCAUGAAUGAUAUAAGGGCGCCAGGGCUAUGCGCGGAAGGUACUCUCAGGGUCGUGACGUUAACUAGCCCGUUCUGGUAAUUUGACCAUUAAAUUAUGAACAACGUGAGGUUGUCCGACUGAUCGUGUGAGAUGGAGGUGUGACCUGUCGCGGAGAUCUCUUACAGAAUUCGGAUACCUUAUUGACGGUUUACUUCGGAAGACGGUUGAAGACCUUGACGACUGGAGCUGCUGCUGGAGUUGGAAUAGGAUAGAUUUAUUUUGACUGCUACGUUAGAUGUUGAUUUCCUUACGAGUGCCAAUUCUAGGGCAACUCUAAUAUUUCGAUAGAAAUUAUAUAAUUACUUAAAAGAACCCUGAAAUAUUAAAAAUUAGCUCCAAGCAGCUACAGAUUAAUUUAAUGCAUUACCAGGAUGAACUGGGUUCCAAAUAUAUAGAAUAAGAUUAAAUAAUUAAUUUAGGGUAGCCAUGAGGCGCCUAUCAUAUAGAUCUGAAAAUUAUAAUUAAAUAUGAAUACGUCAU